This 564-nucleotide ribosomal RNA is filed under the name uncultured archaeon. RNAcentral's name for it is "bacterial SSU rRNA". It matches the Rfam family "Archaeal small subunit ribosomal RNA", at positions 312 to 879 of the family's 1478-position model. The record is from RNAcentral.
CGCGAUUCGCCCUUCGGGGUGCCCAGGCGCGAAAACUUUGCACUUGGCGAAAGCCUGACAGGGCUAUCCCGAGUGCCAUCCGCUGAGGAAGGCUUUUACCCAGUCUAGAACGCUGGGGGAAUAAGGAGAGGGCAAGUCUGGUGUCAGCCGCCGCGGUAAUACCAGCUCUUCGAGUGGUGUGGAUGUUUAUUGGGCCUAAAGCAUCCGUAGCUGGCUAAGUUAGUCCCUUGUUAAAUCCACCGAAUUAAUCGUUGGAUCGCGGGGGAUACUGCUUGGCUAGGGGACGAGAGAGGCAGACGGUAUUUUCGGGGUAGGGGUGAAAUCCUAUAAUCCCGGGAAGACCACCAGUGGCGAAGGCUGUCUGCUAGAACGCGCCCGACGGUGAGGGAUGAAAGCUGGGGGAGCGAACCGGAUUAGAUACCCGGGUAGUCCCAGCUGUAAACGAUGCAGACUAGGUGUUUGAACGGCCACGUGCCGUUCUAGUGCCGCAGGGAAGCUGUUAAGUCUGCCGCCUGGGGAGUACGAUCGCAAGAUUGAAACUUAAAGGAAUUGGCGGGGGAGCAC